CCUACGGGUGGCUGCAGUGGGGAAUAUUGUACAAUGGGGGAAACCCUGAUGCAGCGACGCCGCGUGAGUGAAGAAGUAUCUCGGGAUGUAAAGCUCUAUCAGCAGGGAAGAAAAUGACGGUACUUGACCAAUUACCCCCGGCUAAUUCCGUGCCAGCAGCCGCGGUCAUACGUAGGGGGCAAGCGCGAUCCGGAUUUACUGGGUGUAAAGGGAGCGGAGACGGCGGUGCAAGUCCGGAGUGAAAGCCCAUGGCUUAACCAUGGAACUGCUCUGGAAACUGUGGAGCUUGAGUGCGGGAGGGGCAGGCAGAAUUCCUAGUGUAGCGGUGAAAUGCGUAGAUAUUAGGAGGAACACCGGCGGCGAAGGCGGCCUGCUGGACCGUAACUGACGUUGAGGCGCGAAAGCGUGGGGAGCAAACAGGAUUAGAUACCCGAGUAGUC
Molecule: ribosomal RNA, 440 nt
Filed under: uncultured bacterium
Lineage: Bacteria
Description: partial 16S ribosomal RNA
Rfam family: Bacterial small subunit ribosomal RNA
Source: RNAcentral